Molecule: ribosomal RNA, 303 nt
Filed under: Triticum aestivum (bread wheat)
Lineage: Eukaryota; Viridiplantae; Streptophyta; Magnoliopsida; Poales; Poaceae
Description: partial small subunit ribosomal RNA
Source: RNAcentral
AUGAAUAUACUCCUUGAAGAAACUGAUAGUGUUUUUACUUCCACACAAACAAAAAUACAAUCAACGAAUAAUGGCAAUUCCUUUUCUAUUCCACAGAGGAUGAAACUGGGACAAAUUCUGUUCCUCAAAUGUGCCAAACAAUCACAUCCUCCUUCCAGCACCGCAUUACAACAAGUGGUAACACAAUAUAAUAACUUGAUGAUUCUUACAAGAUCACUGAAAAAAUGUAUACUCGUGCAAAGGCGCACUUUCUAUUUUUGGAUGGCCAUAAUGGUGGCAGCAUCACGCUGUUUGAUCUUGUAA